GGGGAUUUAGCUCAGUGGUAGAGCGCUUGCCUAGCAAGCUCAAGGCCCUGGGUUCAAUCCCCA
RNAcentral lists this transfer RNA (63 nucleotides) under Rattus norvegicus (Norway rat). It matches the Rfam family "tRNA", at positions 1 to 62 of the family's 71-position model. From Rfam's summary of the family: Transfer RNA (tRNA) molecules are approximately 80 nucleotides in length. Their secondary structure includes four short double-helical elements and three loops (D, anti-codon, and T loops). Further hydrogen bonds mediate the characteristic L-shaped molecular structure. tRNAs have two regions of fundamental functional importance: the anti-codon, which is responsible for specific mRNA codon recognition, and the 3' end, to which the tRNAs corresponding amino acid is attached (by aminoacyl-tRNA synthetases). tRNAs cope with the degeneracy of the genetic code in two manners: having more than one tRNA (with a specific anti-codon) for a particular amino acid; and 'wobble' base-pairing, i.e. permitting non-standard base-pairing at the 3rd anti-codon position. The record is from Rfam by way of RNAcentral. Lineage: Eukaryota; Metazoa; Chordata; Mammalia; Rodentia; Muridae.